UGCUGACCUGAGGGUCACAGGUGAUGUUUCAGCAGCUCAUUAGGACACAACAGCCAUAAGGAGCACGCGGGUGGCACUGCAGGUUGGAUGUUGAGCUGCUCCCAGUGCUGCUGGCAGAAUCCUGUGCUAUGAAGGAGCUGUGCAGGAGAGCUCAGAGCUGCACUGAAAACCCCACGCUGACCUCAGGCGCUGCCCAAGGAGACCGUUUGCAUCAAGGACACCAGGAGAACCAAGGUUGGCCCCAAGCCCUGGGCAGGGCAGAUGGAGCAGCGCAGUGGGGAGUGCAGUGCUGCUGGGUGAUGCCUUAGCGUCCAUCACCCAUUUCCCUUCUAAGCACAGCAGUUUCCCAAAGGAAAAUGACUUUGACUGUAUGUUCCUCCCAUUCUCCGUCCCCAUUCAGCACUUGGGAAAACAUAAAAUAAAGCAAAAUGUGAUGCUUGGCUGCUCUGCGGCUCGGAGCUCCCCAGUGCAGUGUGACAUGGAGCCAGCCCUAACUGCUGCUCCUUCCCACUGCUCAAUGCAGGGUCAGAUCCUGCUGCUGCACCGCAGGUGUGAGAAGGUCUGACCUGACUCCGGACCAAUGGAGCAACGUGACCCACACGAUGCUGCACAAAUCCGGCCCUGGGAAGCCUGGCUGCCCAGCCAUCAGCACAUAGAAGGGAGGAAAACUGACUCAGAAAUGGGAAUUGGCAAAUUUUCUCCAUGUUUCUAAAAUCAUUCGUUGGAAAACGCAGCUCUGGAUCAACUGCAAGCAUCUGCAGAUUCGGAUCAGACGCUGCAGAGCUCUCAGAGCAAUGCCUGAACCCAACUGGACCCCUCAAGUCAAGCAAGCAGGGCUGGUUCUGCGUUUCCAAACCACGUUUUGAAAGGCUGAACCUUUGAAUUAAAUUGAAUUAUCAUACUCUGAAAGAGCGAUGGGCACCCAAUUAAAACACGCAUUCGGCGCAAAACAAAUUGCUUCAUUUUGUAACGUUCCAUAAAGAGAAAAGAAGAAUUCUUGUUCUUUUCCCAGGUGCCAGCAUCGCUUUCUCUGUUUUUCCACACUGAUGCUCUUCACCCACACGGCCCUGCUGGGAUAAGUGGGGUUUCCCUGUGUUUUCUACCCCCAAACUAAGCUGGGAUUAGUUCUCCUGUUGGGAAAGGUUGGUUAAAAUGCAAAAUCCCCUUUAUGUUGAUUGCAAACUCGGCACUGAUGAAAGCUUUUACAUUCAAAGCAAUUGCUGCAGAGCACCACGGCUUCGUGCAAACUGCUUUGUUUCCCAGUAUGAAGCUGGAGAUGAGGCUCUGCUCAGCUAUGGGCAAUGGGAGGACAGCGUGGACAGACCCUGACCCUGCACACCAACUUUGAUGCUGGAGAGGCUGCUUUAUGGCCAGUGAUAAACGCCACAAAAUAUGGUUUUAUAAUAGUGCCUGGGAUGGGCUUUUAAAUCCAGCGGGCAGCUCUGGGGCCUGGAGGGGUCAGAAAAUAUGGGCGCAUUUAUAAGCUGCUGGAGGGGGAAGCUGGCAUUCAUUCUGAGUA
Molecule: long non-coding RNA, 1519 nt
Filed under: Meleagris gallopavo (turkey)
Lineage: Eukaryota; Metazoa; Chordata; Aves; Galliformes; Phasianidae
Description: lncRNA (ENSMGAG00000017880.1)
Source: RNAcentral